AUCAUGGCUCAGGAUGAACGCUAGCGGCAGGCCUAACACAUGCAAGUCGAGGGGUAGAGGGAGCUUGCUUCCUUGAGACCGGCGCACGGGUGCGUAACGCGUAUGCAAUCUGCCCCCUACAGGGGAAUAGCCCAGGGAAACUUGGAUUAAUGCCCCAUAGCCCAUAUUGAGAGCAUUCGAUAUAUGGUAAAGAUUUAUCGGUAGGGGAUGAGCAUGCGUACCAUUAGCUAGUUGGUGUGGUAACGGCACACCAAGGCAACGAUGGUUAGGGCCCUGAGGAGGGGGAUCCCCCACACUGGUACUGAGACACGGACCAGACUCCUACGGGAGGCAGCAGUGAGGAAUAUUGGACAAUGGGCGGGAGCCUGAUCCAGCCAUGCCGCGUGCAGGAAGACUCGCCCUAGUUGGGUUAGUAAACUGUCGUUUUUACGGGAAGAAACCACCCCCACGUGUGGGGGCUUGACGGUACCGUACGAAUAAGGAUCGGCUAACUCCGUG
Molecule: ribosomal RNA, 498 nt
Filed under: uncultured bacterium
Lineage: Bacteria
Description: bacterial SSU rRNA
Rfam family: Bacterial small subunit ribosomal RNA
Source: RNAcentral